This is a long non-coding RNA of Trifolium pratense (red clover), 638 nucleotides long. RefSeq lists it as uncharacterized. The transcript is spliced from 3 exons. NCBI's taxonomy places the organism in Eukaryota, Viridiplantae, Streptophyta, Magnoliopsida, Fabales, Fabaceae. The record is from RefSeq and is a predicted model, not a curated record.
AAAUGGUUUUUACUAUAUAUAAAGCCUUUUAACCAGUUUAUAUUUGUUACAUGCAAAGGUGGGAAAAAAAUGCCUCAAACUCUCAAGUUUGCUUAUAUUGCGAUCCUUUUUGUUUUCCUUUUAAACGUUGUAGUCUUUGGUUUUAAGUGUGAUACUCAUGAAGAUUGCUAUAAAAUAUUCCCAACUAUUAUUCCAGAAACAAUAAAGUGCGUGGAAGGUUUUUGUUCCAUCAUACUUCUUAGUAGUGAUCUUCAGCCCAAACCUAAUUAGGACGAGACCGAGUAGUAGUAUCGAGGUGUUUCUUCAUGAGAAUAAAGUGGAGCAUUAGGGUGUUCUAUAGAGUUCGUUGGAUUAUUCUCUCAAAAAUAAUAGUGGAUGCUAUAUCCAUUCCCCACUAAUAUAUAUGUAAUUUUUUUUACGAAUAAAUGUUCUCUUCCUUAAUAUAGACUAUUUUCUUUUUCUUUGAGCACUCCACUCUCUUUUUCUUCGCCUGAUGUUUCCCGUAGGGAUUUAAAUGUAUGGUUUUUAAUGAGACAAUUGUCAUUUAUUUCAAGUCCAACUAGGAUAUUGGCCUAGUGCAACAAGUUUUGUAUUCUUGAUUUUAAUUUAAUGUUAUUGUGAGUUAGCUUGAUUUUUAA